This 487-nucleotide ribosomal RNA is filed under the name uncultured bacterium. Its description in RNAcentral is "bacterial SSU rRNA". It matches the Rfam family "Bacterial small subunit ribosomal RNA", at positions 28 to 507 of the family's 1533-position model. The record is from RNAcentral.
GAUGAACGCUAGCUACAGGCCUAACACGAUGCAAGUCGAGGGGCAGGCGGAAGGAGCUUGCUUCUUCGCCGGCGACCGGCGCACGGGUGAGUAACGCGUAUCCAACCUUCCCAUGUCACGGGAUAGCCCGUCGAAAGGCGGAUUAAUACCGUAUGAGGUCACAUGCGGGCAUCUAAGUGUGACGAAAGGUUUGGCGGACAUGGAUGGGGAUGCGUCCGAUUAGCUAGUUGGCGGGUAACGGCCCACCAAGGCGACGAUCGGUAGGGGUUCUGAGAGGAAGGUCCCCCACAUUGGAACUGAGACACGGUCCAAACUCCUACGGGAGGCAGCAGUGAGGAAUAUUGGUCAAUGGACGGAAGUCUGAACCAGCCAAGUAGCGUGCAGGAUGACGGCCCUAUGGGUUGUAAACUGCUUUUAUGUGGGAAUAAAGUCAGGGACGUGUCCCUGUUUGCAUGUACCACAGGAAUAAGGACCGGCUAAUUCCGUG